UCACAGAAUUUUUGUAAUCACCAACUUCCUUUGUCCAAACAAACACAGCUCUCAAUAAACAACAAUCAUAAUCUUUCAAUAACUCCUCAUAUAAUUCAAUCACUCAGUACUCCAAUUACAUAAUCAAUAACUCAUAAAUCAAUCCCUGAUUUAUUCCACAGACUCACUUCUCAGUAUUCAAAAACUAUCCAUUACUCUUCAACAAUAAAGAAACAAAGAAACAAAAAGGUAGCACCAAGCUUACUCCGGCUCAUAACUAUCACAGUCUAGUACCCCAACAAACUUCUACAACUCCUAUAUAAUUGUUCAUGAUUUCC
Molecule: long non-coding RNA, 317 nt
Filed under: Physcomitrium patens
Lineage: Eukaryota; Viridiplantae; Streptophyta; Bryopsida; Funariales; Funariaceae
Description: long non-coding RNA (PPAT_LNC006319)
Source: RNAcentral